GUCUACGGCCACACUACCCUGAACAAGCUCAGUCCCGUCUGAUCUCGGAAGCUAAGCAGGGUCAGACCUGGUUAGUACUUGGAUGGGAGAACACCUAGGAAGACCAGGUGCUGUAGGAG
This is a ribosomal RNA of Pteropus vampyrus (large flying fox), 119 nucleotides long. The record is from Ensembl. NCBI's taxonomy places the organism in Eukaryota, Metazoa, Chordata, Mammalia, Chiroptera, Pteropodidae.